UACGAAGGGGGCUAGCGUUGCUCGGAAUUACUGGGCGUAAAGCGCACGUAGGCGGCUUCUUAAGUCGGUGGUGAAAUCCUGGAGCUCAACUCCAGAACUGCCUUUGAUACUGGCGACCUUGAGUUCGGGAGAGGUGAGUGGAACUGCGAGUGUAGAGGUGAAAUUCGUAGAUAUUCGCAAGAACACCAGUGGCGAAGGCGGCUCACUGGCCCGAUACUGACGCUGAGGUGCGAAAGCGUGGGGAGCAAGCAGG
RNAcentral lists this ribosomal RNA (253 nucleotides) under uncultured bacterium. Its description in RNAcentral is "partial 16S ribosomal RNA". It matches the Rfam family "Bacterial small subunit ribosomal RNA", at positions 524 to 776 of the family's 1533-position model. The record is from RNAcentral.